Molecule: ribosomal RNA, 393 nt
Filed under: uncultured bacterium
Lineage: Bacteria
Description: partial 16S ribosomal RNA
Rfam family: Bacterial small subunit ribosomal RNA
Source: RNAcentral
AUACGGAGGAUCCGAGCGUUAUCCGGAUUUAUUGGGUUUAAAGGGUGCGCAGGCGGGAGAUUAAGUCGGCGGUGAAAUUUUGCAGCUCAACUGUAAAAGUGCCUUCGAAACUGAUUUCCUUGAGUGUAGAUGAAGUAGGCGGAAUUUGUGGUGUAGCGGUGAAAUGCAUAGAUAUCACGAGGAACUCCGAUUGCGCAGGCAGCUUACUAAACUACUACUGACGCUCAGGCACGAAGGCGUGGGGAUCAAACGGGAUUAGAUACCCUGGUAGUCCACGCAGUAAACGAUGAUUACUAGCUGUUUGCGAUACAAUGUAAGCGGCUGAGCGAAAGCGUUAAGUAAUCCACCUGGGGAGUACGUUCGCAAGAAUGAAACUCAAAGGAAUUGACGGGG